RNAcentral lists this long non-coding RNA (425 nucleotides) under Ananas comosus (pineapple). RNAcentral describes it as "long non-coding RNA (ACOM_LNC033266)". Lineage: Eukaryota; Viridiplantae; Streptophyta; Magnoliopsida; Poales; Bromeliaceae. The record is from RNAcentral.
ACUCUUCAUGAUUAAAUAAAUAACUAACUUAGACAUAUUAUGGUUCAGUUUUAUUUUACUCUUUGGAUAUCUGAGUUUUCAGUUUGUUUUGGAAUGUAAUAAAGGGAAUUUGUGUUUUCUUGAAAUGGAAAUGGUUUUCUACCCCUCGUGGUAGCGUUUUGAAAAGUUAAAAGUUCCUGUGUAGGGAACAGUUUUCAAAAGGUUUUCUGUGGAUUUUGUAUCUUAGUAUUUCAAAACCUGUUUCUGUAGUUGGAAACAUUUUAACUGAUAGAUGUGGAUUUAUAUUUAAAUAGCGAUUGUAUAUUUGUGAAUCUGUGGUGAAUGGUGUAUGAAUGUAUAUCUGUGGUUGUUUGUAUAUUCAUCUGGUUGUGGCUGUUGUAUGAUUGAACUCUUGUACUUGCGACGCCGUGCAAAUACAGGGGAGA